Molecule: transfer RNA, 26 nt
Filed under: Crotalus atrox (western diamondback rattlesnake)
Lineage: Eukaryota; Metazoa; Chordata; Lepidosauria; Squamata; Viperidae
Description: partial tRNA-Leu
Source: RNAcentral
AGGAGAAUAGUUAUCCGCUGGUCUUA